UUCGUAUGCGAGUGUUCGGGUGUCAAACCCCUACGCGUAAUGAAAGUGAACGCAGGUGAGAGCCCUUCCGGGGCGCAUCAUCGACCGAUCCUGAUGUUCUCGGAUGGAUUUGAGUAAGAGCAUACGGGGCCGGACCCGAAAGAAGGUGAACUAUGCCUGUAUAGGGUGAAGCCAGAGGAAACUCUGGUGGAGGCUCGCAGCGGUUCUGACGUGCAAAUCGAUCGUCAAAUAUGGGCAUGGGGGCG
RNAcentral lists this ribosomal RNA (245 nucleotides) under Metarhizium anisopliae. RNAcentral's name for it is "partial large subunit ribosomal RNA". It matches the Rfam family "Eukaryotic large subunit ribosomal RNA", at positions 679 to 925 of the family's 3401-position model. The record is from RNAcentral. Lineage: Eukaryota; Fungi; Ascomycota; Sordariomycetes; Hypocreales; Clavicipitaceae.